RNAcentral lists this non-coding RNA (29 nucleotides) under Homo sapiens (human). Lineage: Eukaryota; Metazoa; Chordata; Mammalia; Primates; Hominidae. The record is from RNAcentral.
ACCCAGAAUAGAAUUUGGGCUACAGUUGC